RNAcentral lists this ribosomal RNA (265 nucleotides) under uncultured bacterium. RNAcentral describes it as "partial 16S ribosomal RNA". It matches the Rfam family "Bacterial small subunit ribosomal RNA", at positions 793 to 1055 of the family's 1533-position model. The record is from RNAcentral.
GUCCCAGCCGUAAACUUUGUCUACUCGGUGGUGGGUGUGUCGAUCCAUUCACUGCCCAAGCUAACGUGAUAAGUAGACCGCCUGGGGGAGUAUGCGCGCAAGCGUGAAACUCAAAGGAAUUGACGGGGCCGGCACAAGCGGUGGAGCAUGUGGUUUAAUUCGAUAGUAAGCGAGGAACCUUACCUGGGUUUGGACAUGCACCGGAUCGUUGUCGAAAGGCGAAAUACCCUUCGGGGCCGGUGCACAGGUGCUGCAUGGCUGUCGU